Bos taurus (domestic cattle) is the source of this 1120-nucleotide long non-coding RNA. NCBI's taxonomy places the organism in Eukaryota, Metazoa, Chordata, Mammalia, Artiodactyla, Bovidae. The record is from Ensembl.
GAAGUCUGCAAAAGGUGGUUUGCAAGAAUCAACACCCUGUGAUUCACAGCGCAGUAGAGGAGGAACAGGGGCUGGAUGAGGGAAAAGAGCAACUCACCAGCACACAGAGGGUUCCUGUGAACACCUCGGUUGAGAUUACAUCCUGAACUACCACACAGUAUACAAUCAGUGAAUGUAUAAUCGUCUCUGCUGCUGCUGCUGCUAAGUCGCUUCAGUCGUGUCAGACUCUGUGCAACCCCACAGACGGCAGCCCACCAGGCUCCCCCAUCCCUGGGAUUCUCCAGAUAUGCGCCCAGGAGUGGGAUUGCUGGAUCAUAUGAUGUAACUGUCAGAAUGAAAACCCAUUGCCAACUCCCUCAGGCUUGCUGAUAUAGAUUUAACUGCAAUAGGCAUUGGUUGGGAUGUUUAUAUUAAAGGAAAUCAACCCUGAAUAUUCAUUGGAAGGACUGAUCCUGAAGCUGAAACUCCAAUACUCUGGCCAUCUGAUGCAAAGAGCCAAUUCAUUGGAAAAGACCCUGAUGCUGGGAAAGAUUGAGGGCAAGAGGAGAAGAGGGAAACAGAGGAUGAGAUGGUUGAAUGGUAUCACUGACUCAAUGGACAUGAGUUUGAGCAAAUUCCAGGAGAUGGUGAAGGAUAGGGAAACUUUUGCCUGGAGAAUCCCAGGAACGGGGGAACCUGGUGGGCUGCCAUCUAUGGGGUCACACAGAGUCGGACACGACUGAAGUGACUUAGCAGUAGCAGGGAAACUUUGUGUCCGUGGGGAAACUACAGUCCAUGGGGUCACAAAGAGUUGGACACGACUUAAUGACUGAACAACAACAACGACAAAGAAUAUAACCCUGAGAACCCAGAAAAGCUGGAUUCAAAUACUGUCUCUGCUAUUUGAACUAUAUAAUCAUGAUAGAGAUGAAUAAUCUCUCUGAAUUUAUUCCUUCUUCAAACAGGAACUAGAGCUAUACACAUAUUUUCAAGGGAAUUUAAAACAAAUUAUUUAUGAAAUGUUUAGUAAACUGUUCUUCCUCUUCUUCUAAGUUGCUUCAGUUUUGUCCGACUCUGUGCAACCUCAUAGACGGCAGCCCACCAGGCUCCGCCGUCCCUGGGAUUCUCCAGGCCAGAACAC